This 253-nucleotide ribosomal RNA is filed under the name uncultured bacterium. Its description in RNAcentral is "partial 16S ribosomal RNA". It matches the Rfam family "Bacterial small subunit ribosomal RNA", at positions 524 to 776 of the family's 1533-position model. The record is from RNAcentral.
GACUGAGGGGGCAAGCGUUGCUCGGAAUUACUGGGCGUAAAGGGCGCGUAGGCGGGAUGGCAAGUCGGUCGUGAAAUCCCUCGGCUCAACUGAGGAUCGUCGAUCGAUACUGCCGUUCUUGAGGAUUGCAGAGGAGACUGGAAUUCCCGGUGUAGCGGUGAAAUGUGUAGAGAUCGGGAGGAACACCGGUGGCGAAGGCGGGUCUCUGGGCAAUUCCUGACGCUGAGGCGCGAAAGCGUGGGGAGCAAACGGG